UACGUAGGGUGCAAGCUUGUCCGGAAUUAUUGGGCGUAAAGGGCUCGUAGGCGGUCCGUCACGUCGGGAGUGAAAUCCUGGGGCUUAACCCCAGAACUGCUUCCGAUACGGGCAGACUAGAGGUAGGUAGGGGAGAAUGGAAUUCCUGGUGUAGCGGUGGAAUGCGCAGAUAUCAGGAGGAACACCAGUGGCGAAGGCGGUUCUCUGGGCCUUACCUGACGCUGAGGAGCGAAAGCGUGGGGAGCAAACAGG
This 252-nucleotide ribosomal RNA is filed under the name uncultured bacterium. Its description in RNAcentral is "partial 16S ribosomal RNA". It matches the Rfam family "Bacterial small subunit ribosomal RNA", at positions 524 to 776 of the family's 1533-position model. The record is from RNAcentral.